AAAGAAUGGGGAGCGAACAGGAUUAGAUACCCUGGUAGUCCAUGCCGUAAAUGAUGAGUGUAGUUCGCCCUUGGUCUACGCGGAUCAGGGGCCCAGAUAACGCGUGAAGAACCU
RNAcentral lists this non-coding RNA (114 nucleotides) under Nicotiana attenuata. RNAcentral describes it as "Bacterial small subunit ribosomal RNA". It matches the Rfam family "Bacterial small subunit ribosomal RNA", at positions 756 to 869 of the family's 1533-position model. Lineage: Eukaryota; Viridiplantae; Streptophyta; Magnoliopsida; Solanales; Solanaceae. The record is from Rfam by way of RNAcentral.